RNA transcript from Zalophus californianus (California sea lion), 4738 nucleotides. It is a transcript of the gene named TAFA chemokine like family member 2, with no coding region annotated. The transcript is spliced from 9 exons. NCBI's taxonomy places the organism in Eukaryota, Metazoa, Chordata, Mammalia, Carnivora, Otariidae. The record is from RefSeq and is a predicted model, not a curated record.
CAGAACAGGCUGUUGGGAGAGACGGAGGGAGGCGACGUAACCGGGUUCUGCUAUCCCAUUUUACUGCUUAACUCACCCUGGAGUGUCGGGACCCAUUCUCUCCCUGCAUGCUCCUUGCACUAUACAAGGAGGCCCUCACUCCGUACUCCCCGGACAGCCAGGCUGCUUGGAACAAGGGGUCUGGGCAGCACAGGGGGUCUGCCCUUUACGGUGACUUCCUAAAAGACACCACCGGUGUCUUUUGACAGUACAGUGCCUGGGGUGAGAGGCGGAGAGGAGGUUUGGAUUGCUAAACCGCUUACUUCCCCCCCACCUUUCUGGUCAUCUGGAUUUGUUUCCUGGGCCCCCUCCUCUGCCCCUUUCUCUCUUUUCCUCCCGCCUUUAGCGAAGUGACACAGGUAACACCUGCUCGCUUGUGUUCGAUGUUGGAACUCGCACCUUCUCGGCGGUGACGGUGGCAGCGUACUGGGGACAGGGGACAGCGGCGGAUUUCCCUUCCUUCCAGCCCACGAUGCCUAGGGGGGCAGCGGUUGGGCUGCGUGGGGCUCUGCCCGCAGCACUUCGAGGCGGGAUUGAGGGGCUGCAGCUGGCCAGGAGUUGCUGCUAAGUGGACUGGGCGCGAAGUCUCCGAGAGGGCACCAGCUGGGACCUAGCUGCUAAAAGCGGGAACAAGGGGCACCUGAUCCGAGGAAGCUGGCGUCUUGAGUGCGGAGGACGGGCGAGCGCAGAGCCUCCACUCCUUGCUGCCCCGAACCUCUCCUACAACUCCUCCACGUUGGAGACCUGGGACCUGCGAGAGCCAGGGAACAGGAGACGUACGUGGCAGAGACUGCUUUCCUGAAGGUGAAUCGUUCGGUCCAAUUGCCUUUCCCCAGAGAGCCAAAGGGAGGGCGGGAGAGAGGGACGGUGGAUGUGUGAGGGUGUGUGAAUGUGAGAGGGAGCGACGACGUGAGGCGAGAGGAAAAGUCUUUAUUCGGCGUUAAAAGCAAACAAAUCAGAGAUGGAAUAAGAGAGAUAAUUGCCGCAAGACCGCCUCGAUUCUCGCAGUCGGGGGAGCGGAGCGCACCCCACGCCUCCGACGAGGACAGCGGGCGACUGCGGGCGCAGGCAAGGGCUGCGGGACUUCGGCUUUGCCUCAGUAAACAAAUCUUUUGAUUACUUUGACACCGUGGAAUAAAGAACGGGGGGUGGGGGGAACGACGAGGCUCACGCACUCCACCUUGCACCCGCUUUCAGGGGACCCCAGUUUGGAUGUCAAGCGAUUCCUGAACCCUCUUUGCUAUCGGAGGAGGAAACACGGGCGCACUCACACGCCCUCCACGAGCACCCACCACCAGACUUGGGUUCCCUAUGCCCCAGAACGGUGACGGCGGAUUGGCAUCUUGGAAGCGAUGCAAGAGCGAUAAGGCUGGCGCGGGCCCGCGGAAGCUGCAGGAGCAUCGCUAGGUGUUGCCGCCACCAGGAAGCCGGGCUGCAGAACUGCAGACUGAGCUAUCUAGUCUCUACUUCAAAAGGACGAACUGUGGGAGCUUGCUGAGCCCUUGCAAGGGGUAGAAGCGACGCUUUCUUAUUCAGUAUUCCACUUCCUGAAAACUAUUGCCUGAAGCGCUUGGAAUCAAAUGUAUACGUACUAUAGUGGCUAGUUACCCUCACUUUCCCGUGUGCUGGCUGACAUUGGCUUGUGGCAAGAAGACCGAAAAGAAAAACGAUCCUCGUUUUGAUCAGUGGAGACAUUUUGGGUUGACUGAAAUCGAGAAGGGUCAUAUCACUGAAUGAAGUUCUGUCCUCUACCCUCCCUCAGGAUGAGUAAGAGAUACUUACAGAAAGCAACAAAAGGAAAGCUGCUAAUAAUAAUAUUUAUUGUAACCUUGUGGGGGAAAGUUGUAUCCAGUGCAAACCAUCAUAAAGCUGUCCAAGCAGAUGCUCUACAGAAAGCCCCCACAGAAGAAAAACUCCACUGGACACUUGGUGAAAAUGGCAAGGAAGACUUUAUUCAAGACUAUGGCGAAAGGGUGGAAAGACUGAACUCUACUGAAAUAAAAGCUCACCAUGUUAAAACGGGCACUUGCGAGGUGGUGGCACUCCACAGAUGCUGUAAUAAGAACAAGAUAGAAGAGCGAUCACAGACAGUCAAGUGCUCCUGCUUCCCUGGGCAGGUGGCAGGCACCACGCGAGCUGCUCCAUCUUGUGUGGAUGCUUCAAUAGUGGAACAGAAAUGGUGGUGCCAUAUGCAGCCAUGUCUUGAGGGAGAGGAAUGUAAAGUUCUUCCGGAUCGGAAAGGGUGGAGCUGUUCCUCUGGGAAUAAAGUGAAAACAACUAGGGCAAACGUGUAAAACUCUUCAAGUUCGAAUGGAGAAGUAGAAAGAGAAGGUUUCUGCUGUGCCUGAUGACAAUUUUUGAUUUUUCCACACUCAAAAAAAUUGUGGCUCCACGUUGGAGCACUAGUGUGGCGAAUCCUAGUGUUGGUCGGAUUCUAAGGAAGGGACAGAAGUUUCAUUGAGGAGUAAAGAUUCAAAACAUCUCCUGAAAUGGGCUCUCGUCUUGGUUUAUUUCUCCCAGAGCAGCAGGUGACCCAUUAACCAAGGAUAAAUCAAGUGAUCCUCAAGCCUGAUUACAUUGAACAUAUGCACAGAAACUUAAUUCCUGAGGUGAUCUUGAAGGGAGAUUUUUAUAUCGCUCACAAGAGGCACUGCAGAGUCUUAUUUCCAAGGGAUUUCAUGGCUCGUCAUCAGCCUCUUCUUGAAACCAAGACUUUUAAAAAGUCAGACAUGAACUUCUGUGUCAUGAAGAUUUUGUCAGAUUUGAACUGUGUUCAACUUGUAAAAUUGCACUUGCUAAGAGAAUUUGAAGUUGCCAUCUGAAGAGUUGGUGUUUCCAGGUGAUGUCAGAGACACUCACCUUUUGGGUUCUUGGCCUCAAAUGGGACUGCUUUUCUUGUUUUUGAAAGUCUGCCAAGUGCACCGGCCUUCUGCCAUGGAUAUGUUCCUGAGUCCGGUCCUGUGUUCAUUGGCUGGUGGGACUGCACCCGCCUUUAUUGACAUUUCCUUUGCAAACUUCUCUGGCAUGGUGUAGACUGAGACAAUUUUAUUUGUAUCCUAUUCUCAGAGCUCUGAAAGCCUACAUGUUUUAACAUCUUAAAGUUGCUUUUGUUAAAGGAAUGGAAAUAUAUAUCCAUUGAUAAUAAUUAUUGUUGGCAAGUAAUAGUUAUCUGACUACAUCAAUCAUAUAAGAAUGUAUAGACAAGCUGACAUGUUUCCCCAAGGCUAACAUACUAUUGCAGCUCUCUAUCAGUUAAAUAGGUAAUAGUUAGAACUGAAUUUCCAUUUUCAUUAUAUGCUAUUUUGUACUUCUAAGGGUACUCUCCCUCUCGGUGUUUGUUUUUGUUUUUUUUUUCAAGUGGGCUUUUUCUUUCAUGUUUACAUUUACUUUUUCCCUUCACAGAAAUCAGCAGUGAGCAGUCAAGUAUGUAGGAAGCCUUCAGUUUCAAAAAAUCGACAGGGACGCAUGUGGAUAUCUGAUUUCUUAGCUUGAGAGUUAUUCACUAAGAUUUCUUCUAGUAAUUUUUUUAACUGUCCUUUCUUUUGUUUUAAUAGACUGUCCCUUGCUCGCUCCCAAUGACUGUUUGAAUGCUUAUGUAUUUGUUUGUUCAGUCCGUUAACAGAAUUGUUCCUUUUCCUUGGUCUCGAAUUUAUAAAUAUUUCCUUACAGUUGUCCCAUUCAAACAAUUUCUUAGGUCAGGUUCUGUCCACAGUUUUGUAGUCAUUUUAAUAUUUUUGUUCUUCAGUUCUACAGGAAAGUCUUACAAAUAUUUAAAGGCCUUAAACAUGUAUGUACUUUUUUUCUAAGUUAUCACAGAAUGUAUAAUUUUAUACAUUUUAUUUCAUUUGUUAUGUGAGGGUAGAGAAGAAUUGAAAAUGCAUAGCCAAUCUGUAAUAUUGUGUAAAUGUCUAGUUGAAGGGAUGUAACCGGAGAGACUCCUUUGUUUACUCAUCUUAGCCUAAUAGGAAGGUACUUCAGAAAUUUUCCUAUUAGAAGUUCCAUCAUGUUAGAAAAGAUGUGACCAUCUUUCAUAUUUUUAAAACUCACUGACAUGGUCAAUUAAGUCUAUGUUAGUUUCCAGGAUGGAGGCUGACAUACCUUGGAGAGUUUUGGCCUGUUAGUUGGUAACAAAUUUCAAAGACCAGUACAUUACCCAGAAUGUCUUCUGGGCAGAAAAAUUAAAAGUGUAAAAUUUGUUAAAAAUUAAAUUUGUAAAGUAUGCUUUGGACACUGAACCAAAGUGUACUGCCCCACAAGUCCAUGGGAUGAAAUGACUUCCUCCCUCCCUGUUAAUUAUACAUAAAACUAAUUAGAUGGCUCUGAGUGGAUUUUGCAAUGGUUCGAGAUUAUGUAUGAAUUCAGAAAGAAAAUAACAGUUGUGCUGGAAUUUUUGCAUCAAUUAUAACAGCAUUUAAUUUCUUUGGAACAAAGUAGAAAACUGUAUUAUUUUGGAAAUUAUGAAUUUUUCCUAGGUUUGUCUGAAAUUGUAGAUCAUGCUUCUCAUUUUUUUAAACUGAGUCCUUUAAAACAACACUGGAAAUUCUGUAUUAUAUACAAGUGUAACACAAGCAUAUCAAUAGAAAAAAAUAAAUGGAAUUUCAAAUAUACUAACUAGAUUAUCCCUAGUAGAUUAAUGUUGUGACUAUUCAGAAAAAGUAAAUAAAAUUGGGAUAUAAAAUGGACUCUCUUUCAUGAGUUA